GACGAACGCUGGCGGCGUGCUUAACACAUGCAAGUCGAACGGUAAGGCUCCAGCUUGCUGGGGUACACGAGUGGCGAACGGGUGAGUAACACGUGGGUGACCUGCCCUGCACUUCGGGAUAAGCCUGGGAAACUGGGUCUAAUACCGGAUAGGACCGCACCGUGAGGGUGUGGUGGAAAGUUUUUUCGGUGUGGGAUGGGCCCGCGGCCUAUCAGCUUGUUGGUGGGGUAAUGGCCUACCAAGGCGGCGACGGGUAGCCGGCCUGAGAGGGUGGACGGCCACAUUGGGACUGAGACACGGCCCAGACUCCUACGGGAGGCAGCAGUGGGGAAUAUUGCACAAUGGGCGGAAGCCUGAUGCAGCGACGCCGCGUGGGGGAUGACGGCCUUCGGGUUGUAAACUCCUUUCACCAUCGACGAAGGGUUUCUGACGGUAGAUGGAGAAGAAGCACCGGCUAACUACGUGCCAGCAGCCGCGGUAAUACGUAGGGUGCGAGCGUUGUCCGGAAUUACUGGGCGUAAAGAGCUCGUAGGUGGUUUGUCGCGUCGUCUGUGAAAUUCCGGGGCUUAACUCCGGGCGUGCAGGCGAUACGGGCAUAACUUGAGUACUGUAGGGGAGACUGGAAUUCCUGGUGUAGCGGUGAAAUGCGCAGAUAUCAGGAGGAACACCGGUGGCGAAGGCGGGUCUCUGGGCAGUAACUGACGCUGAGGAGCGAAAGCAUGGGGAGCGAACAGGAUUAGAUACCCUGGUAGUUCAUGCCGUAAACGGUGGGCGCUAGGUGUGGGUUUCCUUCCACGGGAUCCGUGCCGUAGCUAACGCAUUAAGCGCCCCGCCUGGGGAGUACGGCCGCAAGGCUAAAACUCAAAGGAAUUGACGGGGGCCCGCACAAGCGGCGGAGCAUGUGGAUUAAUUCGAUGCAACGCGAGGAACCUUACCUGGGCUUGACAUAUACAGGAUCGCGCCAGAGAUGGUGUUUCCCUUGUGGCUUGUAUACAGGUGGUGCAUGGUUGUCGUCAGCUCGUGUCGUGAGAUGUUGGGUUAAGUCCCGCAACGAGCGCAACCCUUGUCUUAUGUUGCCAGCACGUUGUGGUGGGGACUCGUAAGAAACUGCCGGGGUUAACUCGGAGGAAGGUGGGGAUGACGUCAAAUCAUCAUGCCCCUUACGCCCAGGGCUUCACACAUGCUACAAUGGUCGGUACUGUGGGUUGCCAGUCCGUGAGGGCGAGCUAAUCCCGCAAAGCCGGUCUCAGUUCGGAUCGGGGUCUGCAACUCGACCCCGUGAAGUCGGAGUCGCUAGUAAUCGCAGAUCAGCAACGCUGCGGUGAAUACGUUCCCGGGCCU
RNAcentral lists this ribosomal RNA (1341 nucleotides) under uncultured bacterium. RNAcentral describes it as "partial 16S ribosomal RNA". It matches the Rfam family "Bacterial small subunit ribosomal RNA", at positions 28 to 1381 of the family's 1533-position model. The record is from RNAcentral.